Clupea harengus (Atlantic herring) is the source of this 1011-nucleotide long non-coding RNA. Lineage: Eukaryota; Metazoa; Chordata; Actinopteri; Clupeiformes; Clupeidae. The record is from Ensembl.
CACACACACUCACACGCACACACACACACUCACACGCACACACACACACACACACACACACACACACACACACACAGAAGCAAACACUCAUCUCACUGUCAAACUCAUAUGCCCGCCCACACACUAAUACACCCUUUCACAGACUCUGCAGUUUCACCCAGCGUGGCAGAUGUCAGUGUCGAGAGCGAUCAGUUAUCUAAGCUGCUCUCUCUCCCCACCGCUAAUCUGAGUGUGUAACCUGAGACUGGCAGUACAAGAAAGAAAACACUCCUGCAUUCCUGCUAUGUUCAAAAGGCUUGACCAGUGAGCCAUUUUUAUUCAACUGAUGUUGAGGUAAAAUGCCUGGUUCACACUAUAAGUCGCACCUGUCUGUGUGUGUGUGUGUGUGUGUGUGUGUGUAUGUGUGUGUGUUUUUGUGUAUAUGUGUGUGUGUGUGUGUGUGUGUGUGUGUGUGUGUGUGUGUGUGUGUGUGUGUGUGUGUGUGUGUGUGUGUGUGUGUGUCAGACAUCGAGAAUGUUUGGAGUGCUAUGUUCGGAUUUUGUCCUGCUGUGUAGAUGUUGUAGAUGUUGAUGUAGAAUUGCAAAUUCUCAGUUUGUAAAAAGCUUCAAGUGUGAAUUACAAAUCUGAAUAAUUAAGAUUUGUGUGAGCUCUGUGUAUGAUGUCUUUGUGUGAGUAAGACAGGUUAGCACAGAAAGGUAUUUGUCACAGGAACUAGGAACUCUAUCGUAGCGUACGUAGGACAUAGAGGGCACAUAGAACAUUUUGUGGUAUCCUUUUGCUGUGUUUGGUGACAUGCUGUGUGAUUUGUACAAAAUGUUAUUUUGUCACAAAUAAAGUUUAAUUUGAAAUAAUAUAACUCUCAGAGACCCAUGUGUUGAAUGAGUUGUUUUAUUUCAGGUUUUUGCUGUAAAAUGGCAUUCACUUUAGGUUAGACAACACAAUCAAGGUUUGGCCCAACCACAAAAAAAUGAAUGGAUCUUUGCAGGAUAUGACUUUGUAAACAAAGCUGAC